CCCCUCAAGAUGAGAUUUCCCAAUUAGUAAGACCCCUUGAAGACGACGAGGUAGAUAGGUUGGGGGUGGAAGUGCAGCAAUGCAUGGAGCUGACCAAUACUAAUCGGUCGAGGGCUUAUCCUAAA
RNAcentral lists this ribosomal RNA (125 nucleotides) under Paenibacillus sp. EKM207P. RNAcentral describes it as "partial 23S ribosomal RNA". It matches the Rfam family "Bacterial large subunit ribosomal RNA", at positions 2795 to 2925 of the family's 2925-position model. Lineage: Bacteria; Bacillati; Bacillota; Bacilli; Caryophanales; Paenibacillaceae. The record is from RNAcentral.